Non-coding RNA from Oryza glumipatula, 112 nucleotides. NCBI's taxonomy places the organism in Eukaryota, Viridiplantae, Streptophyta, Magnoliopsida, Poales, Poaceae. The record is from Rfam.
GGGAGAUGAGGAGUGGUAACAUCUCGCAACUUUUACUGCGAGAGGGGUGCCCGCCCCAACCCAAGCCUGUUACGACAACAGGGGCAUCCCCAUCAUUUUACCAUCUGAUCCC